RNAcentral lists this ribosomal RNA (2931 nucleotides) under Escherichia coli. RNAcentral describes it as "23S ribosomal RNA". It matches the Rfam family "Bacterial large subunit ribosomal RNA". Lineage: Bacteria; Pseudomonadati; Pseudomonadota; Gammaproteobacteria; Enterobacterales; Enterobacteriaceae. The record is from RNAcentral.
GGGUUGUGAGGUUAAGCGACUAAGCGUACACGGUGGAUGCCCUGGCAGUCAGAGGCGAUGAAGGACGUGCUAAUCUGCGAUAAGCGUCGGUAAGGUGAUAUGAACCGUUAUAACCGGCGAUUUCCGAAUGGGGAAACCCAGUGUGAUUCGUCACACUAUCAUUAACUGAAUCCAUAGGUUAAUGAGGCGAACCGGGGGAACUGAAACAUCUAAGUACCCCGAGGAAAAGAAAUCAACCGAGAUUCCCCCAGUAGCGGCGAGCGAACGGGGAGCAGCCCAGAGCCUGAAUCAGUGUGUGUGUUAGUGGAAGCGUCUGGAAAGGCGUGCGAUACAGGGUGACAGCCCCGUACACAAAAAUGCACAUGCUGUGAGCUCGAUGAGUAGGGCGGGACACGUGGUAUCCUGUCUGAAUAUGGGGGGACCAUCCUCCAAGGCUAAAUACUCCUGACUGACCGAUAGUGAACCAGUACCGUGAGGGAAAGGCGAAAAGAACCCCGGCGAGGGGAGUGAAAAAGAACCUGAAACCGUGUACGUACAAGCAGUGGGAGCACGCUUAGGCGUGUGACUGCGUACCUUUUGUAUAAUGGGUCAGCGACUUAUAUUCUGUAGCAAGGUUAACCGAAUAGGGGAGCCGAAGGGAAACCGAGUCUUAACUGGGCGUUAAGUUGCAGGGUAUAGACCCGAAACCCGGUGAUCUAGCCAUGGGCAGGUUGAAGGUUGGGUAACACUAACUGGAGGACCGAACCGACUAAUGUUGAAAAAUUAGCGGAUGACUUGUGGCUGGGGGUGAAAGGCCAAUCAAACCGGGAGAUAGCUGGUUCUCCCCGAAAGCUAUUUAGGUAGCGCCUCGUGAAUUCAUCUCCGGGGGUAGAGCACUGUUUCGGCAAGGGGGUCAUCCCGACUUACCAACCCGAUGCAAACUGCGAAUACCGGAGAAUGUUAUCACGGGAGACACACGGCGGGUGCUAACGUCCGUCGUGAAGAGGGAAACAACCCAGACCGCCAGCUAAGGUCCCAAAGUCAUGGUUAAGUGGGAAACGAUGUGGGAAGGCCCAGACAGCCAGGAUGUUGGCUUAGAAGCAGCCAUCAUUUAAAGAAAGCGUAAUAGCUCACUGGUCGAGUCGGCCUGCGCGGAAGAUGUAACGGGGCUAAACCAUGCACCGAAGCUGCGGCAGCGACGCUUAUGCGUUGUUGGGUAGGGGAGCGUUCUGUAAGCCUGCGAAGGUGUGCUGUGAGGCAUGCUGGAGGUAUCAGAAGUGCGAAUGCUGACAUAAGUAACGAUAAAGCGGGUGAAAAGCCCGCUCGCCGGAAGACCAAGGGUUCCUGUCCAACGUUAAUCGGGGCAGGGUGAGUCGACCCCUAAGGCGAGGCCGAAAGGCGUAGUCGAUGGGAAACAGGUUAAUAUUCCUGUACUUGGUGUUACUGCGAAGGGGGGACGGAGAAGGCUAUGUUGGCCGGGCGACGGUUGUCCCGGUUUAAGCGUGUAGGCUGGUUUUCCAGGCAAAUCCGGAAAACUAAGGCUGAGGCGUGAUGACGAGGCACUACGGUGCUGAAGCAACAAAUGCCCUGCUUCCAGGAAAAGCCUCUAAGCAUCAGGUAACAUCAAAUCGUACCCCAAACCGACACAGGUGGUCAGGUAGAGAAUACCAAGGCGCUUGAGAGAACUCGGGUGAAGGAACUAGGCAAAAUGGUGCCGUAACUUCGGGAGAAGGCACGCUGAUAUGUAGGUGAAGCGACUUGCUCGUGGAGCUGAAAUCAGUCGAAGAUACCAGCUGGCUGCAACUGUUUAUUAAAAACACAGCACUGUGCAAACACGAAAGUGGACGUAUACGGUGUGACGCCUGCCCGGUGCCGGAAGGUUAAUUGAUGGGGUCAGCGCAAGCGAAGCUCUUGAUCGAAGCCCCGGUAAACGGCGGCCGUAACUAUAACGGUCCUAAGGUAGCGAAAUUCCUUGUCGGGUAAGUUCCGACCUGCACGAAUGGCGUAAUGAUGGCCAGGCUGUCUCCACCCGAGACUCAGUGAAAUUGAACUCGCUGUGAAGAUGCAGUGUACCCGCGGCAAGACGGAAAGACCCCGUGAACCUUUACUAUAGCUUGACACUGAACAUUGAGCCUUGAUGUGUAGGAUAGGUGGGAGGCUUGGAAGUGUGGACGCCAGUCUGCAUGGAGCCGACCUUGAAAUACCACCCUUUAAUGUUUGAUGUUCUAACGUUGACCCGUAAUCCGGGUUGCGGACAGUGUCUGGUGGGUAGUUUGACUGGGGCGGUCUCCUCCUAAAGAGUAACGGAGGAGCACGAAGGUUGGCUAAUCCUGGUCGGACAUCAGGAGGUUAGUGCAAUGGCAUAAGCCAGCUUGACUGCGAGCGUGACGGCGCGAGCAGGUGCGAAAGCAGGUCAUAGUGAUCCGGUGGUUCUGAAUGGAAGGGCCAUCGCUCAACGGAUAAAAGGUACUCCGGGGAUAACAGGCUGAUACCGCCCAAGAGUUCAUAUCGACGGCGGUGUUUGGCACCUCGAUGUCGGCUCAUCACAUCCUGGGGCUGAAGUAGGUCCCAAGGGUAUGGCUGUUCGCCAUUUAAAGUGGUACGCGAGCUGGGUUUAGAACGUCGUGAGACAGUUCGGUCCCUAUCUGCCGUGGGCGCUGGAGAACUGAGGGGGGCUGCUCCUAGUACGAGAGGACCGGAGUGGACGCAUCACUGGUGUUCGGGUUGUCAUGCCAAUGGCACUGCCCGGUAGCUAAAUGCGGAAGAGAUAAGUGCUGAAAGCAUCUAAGCACGAAACUUGCCCCGAGAUGAGUUCUCCCUGACUCCUUGAGAGUCCUGAAGGAACGUUGAAGACGACGACGUUGAUAGGCCGGGUGUGUAAGCGCAGCGAUGCGUUGAGCUAACCGGUACUAAUGAACCGUGAGGCUUAACCUUACAACGCCGAAGGUGUUU